UAUCAUCGCCACCUGCCACUAAGUACAUAUGGCAAUGUUUAUCUAUGUGGCUGCAGUGAUCAUUACCUUGUCAGCAUGGUGUGGUGGGGAAAGUGUAACACAACUCCAAUCGGUUGUGACAGUGACUGAAGGGGAGGAUGUUUCUCUGCAGUGUAAUUAUACAGCUACAGGCGGCAUCAGUGACUAUCUGUUCUGGUACCGACACUCUUUCAACAAAGCUCCAGAAUAUAUCCUUCGCACAGACACCAACAACAGGAUCAAACACGAGGCCGACUUUGCAAAAGAACGUUUCUCAACGAAUGUGUCUAAAGCGGAGAGAACCGUCCCAUUAAAUAUAUUGCACGUGAGAGUUACGGACUCCGCGGGGUAUUACUGUGCACUGAGCCCCACAGGGGCACAGAUCAGCGAUUCCACCCUACAAAAACUGCCAUGUGGAACCCUGUAG
Non-coding RNA from Callorhinchus milii (elephant shark), 445 nucleotides. The record is from the annotation of a RefSeq genome assembly. NCBI's taxonomy places the organism in Eukaryota, Metazoa, Chordata, Chondrichthyes, Chimaeriformes, Callorhinchidae.